Long non-coding RNA from Branchiostoma floridae (Florida lancelet), 704 nucleotides. RefSeq lists it as uncharacterized. Lineage: Eukaryota; Metazoa; Chordata; Leptocardii; Amphioxiformes; Branchiostomatidae. The record is from RefSeq and is a predicted model, not a curated record. The transcript has 2 exons.
AAACUCGAUGAGAUAUUUUCCGGAACGUCCGGCAAAUGCCCCUUCUUCCGCGCUCGGCGCUGGGGGCUUCGUGCGGACAGAAACUUCCGCGGGAGGGUCUGCAUGGGGGGUCCCGACAAUGAUUUACGCUGAAGUCAGAAGAACGCCCUACGUAUUACGCAAAAUCAAGGAUGGCAAUUACGCUAAAUUUGGUCACCUCGCUACGAAUUACGCAGAUAUUCAUAAGAUGGUUUUCCCUACGAAUUACGGGAAAUAAAAAUAGGCUGCCUACGAAUAGGCCAAGGAAGACGUGGCUGGACAAUAUCAAGACAUGGACUGGCCUAAGCACUGAACAGCUCAUCAGAGGGGCAGAGGACAGAGCGAGAUGGGCACGGAUCACUGCUACUGGAUGUCGGGGAGCCCCUACGACCACUGAGGUUACGGGCCGUGAGUGAGAUAUGGCCUUAGUUGCUGAAGAUCAUCAAGAUGAGAGGAUGGAGGUGUGCUUCACAAAGCUAAAGCAGGCACAAAAAGACCUCAAAAACUACAAGAGAAGAUGUACACAGGCAGAGCACGAAAAUGAACAACUGGAAGAGAGAUACGAGUGGCUUACUCAACAGUACUAGUAUUAAAUCGUAUCGCAGCUCCACACAAAUGUAGAACACUUCCAGAAAGUCAUAGCAGAAAAGUCAUCUGAUGUGUUCGAAAUCAGUAAAAACCUUGCA